Molecule: long non-coding RNA, 1307 nt
Organism: Harpia harpyja (harpy eagle)
Lineage: Eukaryota; Metazoa; Chordata; Aves; Accipitriformes; Accipitridae
Exons: 2
Source: RefSeq, a predicted model, not a curated record
CAACAGCAGUUGUAUCUAAAGGUUCCUAUCCAACAUUGGUGUCGUGGUUCCCUGAGGAGUCUGACAGCGAACAUAUGCACCAUCAGCUAAGGUUUAGAAACCACCUAGGGUAAAGGGUACAUUUUAUUCCUCCAGCAAAUGUUAAUUUUCAUGCUUUUGCAAAUACGUUUUUUUCAGUCUUGAGGAUAGACUCUAUCCUUGAAAGGAUAUGAGGUUUAAUUGUCAAAUAGCAGUCUUGGUUGGAACUAAGAUUAUAGUUAUGUGCCACACAAAGGUAAACAUUUCAGGAGACAGAAUGUUGUUAUACAGAUAAAUUAUCCUCCCACUGAAUUUUAUUCUCUCAUUUUGAAUCACCACGGAUGGAUGGAAUUCCUUCCUUAUAGUGGCCACCUCUACCUCUAAGUAUUUUCCAGUGGUUUAGGAAUGAACAGCUGAAAACCUAGGCUAUUUUGACUUCUACCAUGAGAUGCUUAACCCUGCCCAGGCACUAUGUAAGCAGCUUGAGUGCCAAACACAGUGCUCUGAAUUCUUGAGAGUCACAAGAUUCAGUUCGUUCUUUGUUGAUACCUGUUUUUUGUCCUGCAAGAAUUUGCACAAGUUGGAAAAGAGGGAAGUUCUCUUAACUGCCGCUCCCGAGGAAGGUCUUUUUACUGAUAAAUAUAUUUGGGGAAGAGAAAACAAUCUCUUGGAAAGAAGGGGACACGCAGCUACAUUUCACUGAAACUGGUGGAAAACUGGCUUCCUCUUUUAGCAGCAUAUGUGCUAUGAGUAGCUCACAGGCAACACUCACAAGGGACUCAGCUACUGGAAAGAAAAAGUCAAGACCCACGUUACAAAGACGGACUUCUACUAGCAUCUGCACCAGGCACUGCUGCCAACAGAGAAAAUGGAAGCUGUUGCUUCAACCUUCCCAUUAGGAAGUCGUGAUCACCCUGGGAUUUCCUUAAGCCCCCGUCCUUUUAUUCCUCCCUGGCACACAGGAGGAGGUUUGAAGACACGAAGAUCUGAGUCUCACAAGAUUUCUGGUUUUCUAACAAGAAAAAGGAACUUACUAAGGAGGGUACCAAAUUUGCAGAUUUUUUGUCUGAAUAUAUUUAUUUACAUAGACUCACUUCGUGGCCUAAGCCAGAUUUUUAAUUCUGUACUAUCUGUCUUCAUUAGGUUAAUACAGAAAAUGUAAAUUUCAUUUUCUCUUUUUGAAGGACACCUUGUAAUGAGAUUAUCCGUAAACUGAUCUUUGCUAUCUGUCUCCCUCUGUUAGCUUCUUAUUGCCAGGUGUGAAAUAAAUACAAGCAUUAUCUUUUGAA